This is a long non-coding RNA of Prionailurus viverrinus (fishing cat), 2467 nucleotides long. RefSeq lists it as uncharacterized. The transcript has 8 exons. The record is from RefSeq and is a predicted model, not a curated record. NCBI's taxonomy places the organism in Eukaryota, Metazoa, Chordata, Mammalia, Carnivora, Felidae.
GUGGAGUGUGCUGAGUAAUAAUGAAACUCAUCUGAUUCUGAAUCAUCUGGUGCCUUCAGACUGGAAAAGGCAGAAGGCAGGUGAGACCAGGUUGAACACUGGCCGAAUCCAGGGGAUGACUUUGAAAAACAAGAAUCCAUUUCCUCAUUUCAGAUUCUCCACCACACUGAAUGGGAGGUCGGCAGGUAUCAUCCUCCCUGUUUUACAAGAUGCUUUUGCCCAGAGAGGCACGUUGGAGCCAUUGCUGGAACCAGCCUUGGGCAAAGGAGUCAGAAGUCAGCACCCCAGGAGCCCCAAACAGAGAGGGUGGAUUUUUUCACACCCAAAUGGAGUCUUCCUUUCUGGAGGCUCAGGAGAGAAGGACCUCACUACGGGUCACUGCUGUUUGUUGAGCACACGCUGGUGCCACGCUGGGCGAAUUGCUUGUUAUCUCUGUACAGGUUUACGAUCACUCAGCGGACCGGACGAAGAAACUGGCACAGAAAGGUUCAGUCACUUGAGCAAGGCACCCAGCUAGCUAGCUAGCUAGUUAAGUGUUGCUGGUAGGAUCUGAACCCAGAUCUACUGACGUAUAGACUCUUAACCUUAUACUUCAAGGCAAAGAAAAUCCCAGGGGUGCCGAGGAGACGCUGUCGAGAUGUCCCCGAAACCGCGCGGCACAGAGAAGCCCACCGACAACCCCGGGUGGGCGUCUCGCGCACUUCGGACCUCCGGGGGCGGGGCGGGGGCGACCCGGGCCCCGCCCUCAUUUCCCGUCGCCUCGGCCCCGCCCCGCGCCCCGCCCCGCGCCCCGCCCCGCCCGCUCCGGCCGCGCUCGGCUCCGCCCCCGCGGGCAGCGCGGGCUUCCCAUUGGCCGCCGUUUCCAUGGUUACGCGGGGCCGGUGGCGCUGCAGACUUCCCGACACGUGUCCCCCGGAGCCGCCCGGAAUUUGACAGGGGACCAUGUGCGCGGCAGCGCGGGAGCCAGACAAAGGGCCGGGGGAGGCGGGGAACGAAGCCGGCGGAGAGGCCGGGUGGCCGGGCAGGGAUGAGCCGCCUGCUUCUCCCGCGAGCUGGAGCAGUCCCCCACCUCCUGCCUUUUUUUUUGUAUUUUGAAGGAAAGAAAAAAUAAACAAGAAUUGCUGUGGAAAGCGAGGAGGGAGACGUUUCCAGCCAGUCCCACCUGCUCUCCCUCCUCCAGGGAAAACUGGGAAGCGGAAGCUUAACAGUGCGGUUGUUUUGAUGCUGCAGAAAUGCGACCCAAGGAAUUGUGGGGGAUCUUGCUACCCCCGUUCAUCCUACAACAGCGACCUCACUCCAGUAGCGACCAUGUGUCGAGGCUGCCCGUGUGGCUUGGCUGGAGGCUCCCUUUCAUCUGCAAAGCCAGGAGAGGCCCACUGAGCCUUUCCUCAUCCUGGACACCAACUCUUCUUCCCUCUUCCAUUAUUUAAGAAUGCUUAUGAUUACCAUCGCCACCCGGAUAAUCCAGAAUAAUCUCUCCAUCCCCAAGUUAGCUGGAUGUGCCGGCAGGAGGUUCCUCUUCAAGAGUAAGGGAGGGGCCCGGGGAAGCUAGCGGUCACCAGGGACAGCACUUCCGCUUCCGUUGGGGGAGAUGAGAAAGUUCUGGAGCCGGAUGGUGAUGUCGGCUGGACAAUGGUGUGAAUGUACUUGAUGCCCUGAGCUGUCCGCUUCAAAGCGGCUCAAAGGUGAACUUUUUAUGCGACGUGUAUUUGACGGCAAUAAGAGGCGUUUGCUGACUUUUUGAACGCCAGCUGCCCCCUGCACACUUGACAUUGCUCAAGGCUCCCGGGGGGCCGCACGCGUCCUCAUUUCUCUGUGGGAACGACGUCCAGGAGGGUGGCAGCCACCCCCUCGGCAGAUGAAGAGACUGAGGCAUGGAGGCCGGAAGUGGUGACUCUGCAUUUCAACCCGAUAUGCCUCUAGGGGGAAGGUGCAGUGUGGCCCGGGGUUAGGUGUUCGGGCUCAAAACGGGUCUGCCCUUCACUGUCGCACGGCCUUGGGCUUCCCGCUGCUGGCUUUCCUCUUCAGACAACUGGGGACAAUGACAGUGUCCUCUCCGGUCCAGCGACAGCAUUUGGCGAGAUGGUAUUGGAAGGAUUUAGCACGAUAGCUUGGCCACCAUCAAAAAUCAGAUCCCCUCCGGAGUCGGCUGAUGCUCCCUCUUGGUGCUACGGUGGACGGUGGGCAUCCCCUUCACCUUGACAAUGCACCGCCUUGGCGGGAGGACGGUGAGGGACAAUUCACGCGCAUAGCUGGAUGAAGAGUGUCCAGCAGAGGAAAGAUUUCUCCACUCAGUGGUGAGUUACGGUCACGCGUCCAGUCUUAGAGCAGCUUGGAGCUUGGCCACUAUUUGAGCCAGUGCAGAGUAGGUGUUCAAAGCCAUGGAUUUGGGGGUCAUGAACUACUGGGACCUCACCAAAAUAAAAAGCUUCUGCACAAUGAAGGAAACAAUCAGCAAAACUACAAG